ACUCAAAUGAAUUGACGGGGGCCCGCACAAGCGGAGGAGCAUGUGGCUUAAUUCGAUGCAACGCGAAGAACCUUACCUGGGCUUGACAUGCAGAGUUCAAGCGGUGAAAGCCGCUGGCCGCAAGGCGAUCUGCACAGGUGCUGCAUGGCUGUCGUCAGUUCGUGCCGUGAGGUGUUGGGUUAAGUCCCGCAACGAACGCAACCCUUGUGUUUAGUUGCCACCGGCGUGAUAAACGUCGAGCACUCUAAACAGACUGCCCGUGACAAGCGGGAGGAAGGUGGGGAUGACGUCAAGUCAGUAUGGCCCUUACGUCCAGGGCUGCACACGUGCUACAAUGGCUGGUACAGAGGGAUGCAAGACCGCAAGGUGGAGCAAAUCCUGAAAACCGGCCCCAGUUCGGAUUGAAGGCUGCAACUCGCCUUCAUGAAGCCGGAUUCGCUAGUAAUGGCGCAUCAGCUACGGCGCCGUGAAUACGUUCCCGGGCCUUGUACACACCGCCCGU
This 502-nucleotide ribosomal RNA is filed under the name uncultured bacterium. RNAcentral's name for it is "bacterial SSU rRNA". It matches the Rfam family "Bacterial small subunit ribosomal RNA", at positions 899 to 1397 of the family's 1533-position model. The record is from RNAcentral.